RNAcentral lists this long non-coding RNA (411 nucleotides) under Pan troglodytes (chimpanzee). RNAcentral's name for it is "long non-coding RNA NONPTRT005076". The record is from RNAcentral. Lineage: Eukaryota; Metazoa; Chordata; Mammalia; Primates; Hominidae.
GGUGGCCGUAGCUCCAUCGCAUUUUAUGUUUCUGGCGAGAAGGGAACGGAGUUUUCAUCAGGUAGAUUGGUUUUUGUGCGGCCGUCCUCCACCGUUUCCUCCAGGACAGCACCUAGUCGUGGCCGGAGGAGUCUCAGAGCUGUCAGAAAGAAAUAAUCGGCUGGGCGUGGUGGCUCAUGCCUGUAAUCUCAGCACUUUGGGAGGCCGAGGCGGGUGGAUCACCUGAGGUCGAGAGUUCAAGACCAGCCUGACCAACAUGGAGAAACCCCGUCGCUACUAAAAAUACAGAAUUAGCCGGGCGUGGUGGCGCAUUCCUGUAAUUCCAGCUAAUUGGGAGGCUGAGGCAGGAGAAUCGCUUAAACCUGGAAGAUGGAGGUUGCGGUAAGCUGAGAUCGUGGAAUUGCACUUCAC